AACGAACGCUGGCGGCAGGCUUAACACAUGCAAGUCGAACGGGUGUAGCAAUACAUCAGUGGCAGACGGGUGAGUAACACGUGGGAACCUUCCUAGGGGUACGGAACAACUCAGGGAAACUUGAGCUAAUACCGUAUACGUCCGUGAGGAGAAAGAUUUAUCGCCCUUAGACGGGCCCGCGUCGGAUUAGCUAGUUGGUGGGGUAACGGCCUACCAAGGCGACGAUCCGUAGCUGAUCUUAGAGGAUGAUCAGCCACACUGGGACUGAGACACGGCCCAGACUCCUACGGGAGGCAGCAGUGGGGAAUCUUGGACAAUGGGCGCAAGCCUGAUCCAGCCAUGCCGCGUGAGUGAAGAAGGUCUUCGGAUUGUAAAGCUCUUUCGCCGGUGAAGAUAAUGACGGUAACCGGAGAAGAAGCCCCGGCUAACUUCGUGCCAGCCGCCGCCGUAA
RNAcentral lists this ribosomal RNA (451 nucleotides) under uncultured bacterium. Its description in RNAcentral is "partial 16S ribosomal RNA". It matches the Rfam family "Bacterial small subunit ribosomal RNA", at positions 29 to 523 of the family's 1533-position model. The record is from RNAcentral.